UUGCUCCUACGGGGCGCAGCAGUGGGGAAUAUUGGGCAAUGGGCGCAAGCCUGACCCAGCAACGCCGCGUGAAGGAAGAAGGCCCUCGGGUUGUAAACUUCUUUUAUCAGGGACGAAACAAAUGACGGUACCUGAUGAAUAAGCCACGGCUAACUACGUGCCAGCAGCCGCGGUAAUACGUAGGUGGCAAGCGUUAUCCGGAUUUACUGGGUGUAAAGGGCGUGUAGGCGGGAGAGCAAGUCAGACGUGAAAUUCCAGGGCUCAACCCUGGAACUGCGUUUGAAACUGUUCUUCUUGAGUGAUGG
Molecule: ribosomal RNA, 305 nt
Filed under: uncultured bacterium
Lineage: Bacteria
Description: bacterial SSU rRNA
Rfam family: Bacterial small subunit ribosomal RNA
Source: RNAcentral